GCUCCUCAGCUGCUGCCUCUUCACCGCCGCGGU
RNAcentral lists this non-coding RNA (33 nucleotides) under Alexandrium minutum. The record is from RNAcentral. Lineage: Eukaryota; Dinophyceae; Gonyaulacales; Pyrocystaceae.